RNAcentral lists this ribosomal RNA (474 nucleotides) under Microbacteriaceae bacterium. Its description in RNAcentral is "bacterial SSU rRNA". It matches the Rfam family "Bacterial small subunit ribosomal RNA", at positions 385 to 868 of the family's 1533-position model. Lineage: Bacteria; Bacillati; Actinomycetota; Actinomycetes; Micrococcales; Microbacteriaceae. The record is from RNAcentral.
GAUGCAGCAACGCCGCGUGAGGGACGACGGCCUUCAGGGUUGUAAACCUCUUUUAGUAGGGAAGAAGCGAAAGUGACGGUACCUGCAGAAAAAGCACCGGCUAACUACGUGCCAGCAGCCGCGGUAAUACGUAGGGUGCAAGCGUUGUCCGGAAUUAUUGGGCGUAAAGAGCUCGUAGGCGGUUUGUCGCGUCUGCUGUGAAAACCCGAGGCUCAACCUCGGGCCUGCAGUGGGUACGGGCAGACUAGAGUGCGGUAGGGGAGAUUGGAAUUCCUGGUGUAGCGGUGGAAUGCGCAGAUAUCAGGAGGAACACCGAUGGCGAAGGCAGAUCUCUGGGCCGUAACUGACGCUGAGGAGCGAAAGCAUGGGGAGCGAACAGGAUUAGAUACCCUGGUAGUCCAUGCCGUAAACGUUGGGAACUAGAUGUAGGGGCCAUUCCACGGUUUCUGUGUCGCAGCUAACGCAUUAAGUUCC